Long non-coding RNA from Eucalyptus grandis, 1098 nucleotides. RefSeq lists it as uncharacterized. The transcript is spliced from 3 exons. The record is from RefSeq and is a predicted model, not a curated record. Lineage: Eukaryota; Viridiplantae; Streptophyta; Magnoliopsida; Myrtales; Myrtaceae.
UGACAAUCAUCGCCAUCGCCGUUCGACAUUGCCUAGCCGAAGUCGAACCAGCUCUCUUUGCCCCUGUUUCUCAGCGAAGGAGUCCGAAGUGUUCAGUUAUUGCUUGAGACUCCUCCUCCAACGCCGAUAUUCAUCUCCAGCGUGUCUGGGACGUCCGGUUUCUGAUUUGCCCAUUCGCCGAGGCUAGAGUUCCGAUCUCGCCAAGAUUCAACUGCGAUUGAAGUUCUACGGAUGAUCAGAACCUGUGGUGUUGCUGUUGUAAUAGUCUAGCCCAGACGAAAUUACGAUGUCUUCCUUAAUUUCAGAGGCAAAGACAUUGGCAACAACUUCGUGGGUCAUCUAUGCAAGGCCUUGUAUCGGGCCAGCUUAAGGACGUUCGUGGGAUAGGAAGGAACUAAGGAAGCGAGAGGCAAUAUCGGCCUCGAUCAUGAGGGCGAUCAAAGAAUUGCUCAUUGCAAUCAUCAUCUUCUCGGAGAGCUACGCUUCGUCGUCGUGGUGUUUGGAAGAGCUGGUCAAGAUAUUGGAGUGCGAGAAGAUGAAUGAACAGGAUGCGAUGCCUGUAUUUUACAAAGUGGAAUCAAGGAAAGUAAAAGGAAGGCACGGGAAAUCAUGGGCAGCAAAGCAUGGAGUCAAGUCAAGAAAUGGAAGGAAGCUCUCGUUGAAGCUUCUAAUUUGUCGAGGGCGGCAUCAGGAAAACAGGUAAUUCUAAUAUAUAAUCACCUAUGAAAAAUGAUAGACAGAUCAAGACACACCUGGUCCAAUGACGCGCAGGUCCAUUCGUGCCUUCUCUUCUUUAGUUCGAAAUUUCUUGCGCGUUUUCUUUUAUUUUUGGAUAUUGACACAAGAUAUCAAUAUUGCAUAAAGGGGCGUCAAUGAAUUAGCUCGAGCCGGGCACGCAUUAACCAGUCCCGGAAAUCCCUGGUUGGGUCAGGUUAGCAGGAGCCUGGAAAAUAGAAGAAGAUAAAAUUAAUGGAAAAAUAGCGAUGGAAGGGUCGGUCCUCCGGUGCUCAGAUUUGCCCACAUUGCUAGGACUAGGAGUUGCUUUUACUGCUGAACCUCUGCUGUUUGGAUUUCUUGAUAAAACUUUUAAUUUUGAUU